RNAcentral lists this ribosomal RNA (766 nucleotides) under Phialophora verrucosa. RNAcentral's name for it is "eukaryotic LSU rRNA". It matches the Rfam family "Eukaryotic large subunit ribosomal RNA", at positions 137 to 922 of the family's 3401-position model. Lineage: Eukaryota; Fungi; Ascomycota; Eurotiomycetes; Chaetothyriales; Herpotrichiellaceae. The record is from RNAcentral.
UCCGAGUUGUAAUUUGUAGAGGAUGUUUUGGGUACCGCCCCGGUCUAAAUUUCUUGGAACAGAAUGUCAGAGAGGGUGAGAAUCCCGUCUUGGACCGGCGGUAGGGCCUGUGUAAAACUCCUUCGACGAGUCGAGUUGUUUGGGAAUGCAGCUCAAAAUGGGUGGUAAAUUUCAUCUAAAGCUAAAUAUUGGCCAGAGACCGAUAGCGCACAAGUAGAGUGAUCGAAAGAUGAAAAGAACUUUGAAAAGAGAGUUAAACAGUAUGUGAAAUUGUUGAAAGGGAAGCGCUUGCAACCAGACUUGAGCGCGACGGUUCCCCUAGCCUUUUGGCUAGGUUACUCUGUCGUGUCCAGGCCAACAUCGGUUCUGAGGGCCGGUCAAAGGCCCCGGGAAUGUACCUACCCACGGGUAGACUUAUAGACCGGGGUGUCAUGCGGCCUCUCGGGACCGAGGAACGCGCUUCGGCUCGGAUGUUGGCGUAAUGGUUGUCAGCGACCCGUCUUGAAACACGGACCAAGGAGUCUAACAUCUAUGCGAGUGUUUGGGUGUCAAACCCGGAACGCGGAAUGAAAGUGAACGGAGGUAGGAAGCUUCGGCUGCACUAUCGACCGAUCCUGAAGUUUACGGAUGGAUUUGAGUAAGAGCAUAGCUGUUGGGACCCGAAAGAUGGUGAACUAUGCCUGAAUAGGGUGAAGCCAGAGGAAACUCUGGUGGAGGCUCGCAGCGGUUCUGACGUGCAAAUCGAUCGUCAAAUUUGGGUAUAGGG